AUUGAACGCUGGCGGAAUGCUUUACACAUGCAAGUCGAACGGCAGCACGGACUUCGGUCUGGUGGCGAGUGGCGAACGGGUGAGUAAUGUAUCGGAACGUGCACAGUCGUGGGGGAUAACGUAGUGAAAAUUACGCUAAUACCGCAUACGAUCUAUGGAUGAAAGUGGGGGAUCGCAAGACCUUGCGCGAUGGGAGCGGCCGAUAGAAGAUUAGGUAGUUGGUGGGGUAAAGGCCCACCAAGCCAACGAUCUGUAGCUGGUCUGAGAGGACGACCAGCCAAACUGGAACUGAGACACGGUCCAGACUCCUACGGGAGGCAGCAGUGGGGAAUUUUGGACAAUGGGCGAAAGCCUGAUCCAGCCAUUCCGCGUGCAGGAUGAAGGCCCUCGGGUUGUAAACUGCUUUUGUACAGAACGAAAAGGUUUCUACUAAUACUAGGAGCUCAUGACGGUACUGUAAGAAUAAGCACCGGCUAACUACGUGCCAGCCGCCGCCGUAA
RNAcentral lists this ribosomal RNA (500 nucleotides) under uncultured bacterium. RNAcentral's name for it is "partial 16S ribosomal RNA". It matches the Rfam family "Bacterial small subunit ribosomal RNA", at positions 30 to 523 of the family's 1533-position model. The record is from RNAcentral.